AAUCAGUAGAUGAAACUGAAUUUUAUUGUGUCUUUACUUUCUUUUUUCACUAAGCAAACUAAAUUUUCUGUCUGUAUGGAACAUUGCUGCAGUGACACCAUUAGAGAAAGGCAGGGGAAGGAUUGAAAUUUGUGGCAAAGAAUGAUGGAUUGCACAACAUGGUAUGUUCCUUCUAUUUUGUGUACUUUUAUUGCUAAAGGCAGAAGCUUCUUAUGUUCCAAUCACUUUUGUCCAGAAUGCCGUCACAAAAGGAGUUGUUUGUUUGGAUGGGAGUGCACCAGCUUACCAUCUUGAUAGGGGAUUCGGAGAAGGGAUAAACAAUUGGUAAGUUUAGUUUGAGGUGUGUCAUGUCCCUUUCUGCAAACUGGCAUCAAUAAUAAGUCUUCACCAAUUACCAACUCAAGAAAACAUUGCUUUCAUUAUUUUGUUUCUCUUUCUAUUUUAAAACAACAAAAAAUAUUUAUUUCUUUUGCUUGUAUCACUAUGAUUAAACUAAUUGCUUUGGCAAAAUGACAGAGGGGUGAAAGAACUGUUUUGGAAAGAUAAAAUCCAAUCUUAAUUCCAAUUCCAUAAGAGACUAGAAGUUUUCUAAGUGGCUUUUCUGUUGUUGAACUUGCAAAUUCUUAG
Molecule: non-coding RNA, 627 nt
Organism: Arachis ipaensis
Lineage: Eukaryota; Viridiplantae; Streptophyta; Magnoliopsida; Fabales; Fabaceae
Source: RefSeq, a predicted model, not a curated record